Long non-coding RNA from Carassius gibelio (silver crucian carp), 531 nucleotides. RefSeq lists it as uncharacterized. The transcript is spliced from 3 exons. The record is from RefSeq and is a predicted model, not a curated record. NCBI's taxonomy places the organism in Eukaryota, Metazoa, Chordata, Actinopteri, Cypriniformes, Cyprinidae.
GGUGCUAUUCAACGACUAAAAGCUCCCGCCCCGCCGAGCUCUCCGACUGGCUGGAUUCUGAGCAAGAGAUGCUGAGGUAAUGGCUUCCUUAUGGACUCCCGGCGCAAGAGUGAUGGGCUGACAGAAGGUAUGUUAAAUAUCUCCCGCUCUGACUACAACAUCGGGACCCUGACCCCUUUGAAAGGGAAGGCUUAACAAGGGACUCCGAAGGUCAGCGAGCUGUAAUAUGUCAAUGGGAUUUAAAGGGAAGACGACUGCGCUGUGUUUACAUGAGCUGGGGUUCCACUACUUUCAGUCCAAGGAGGAAAAUGUGGGAAAAGGCAUGGGUGCCACCGUCUGAACCUCAGGCAGAUUCUUGCUGGUGGCUCCAUUCACAAAGCUGGAGGAAGAGGGAGUGGAUGCAUCUGUGGCUCCUGUGACACAACAAGAAAUCACAGGAAACAACAUAACUACAAAGGCACAAACUUUGUGAAACAUCCCCAUUACUCUGGCCUCCCCCUGAGAAAGUGAAGCACCAUCUUACAUUCUUCU